GAUGAACGCUGGCGGCGUGCCUAAUACAUGCAAGUCGAGCGAACAGAUGAGGAGCUUGCUCCUCUGACGUUAGCGGCGGACGGGUGAGUAACACGUGGAUAACCUACCUAUAAGACUGGGAUAAAUUCGGGAAACCGGAGCUAAUACCGGAUAAAAUAUUGAACCGCAUGGUUCAAUAGUGAAAGACGGUUUUGCUGUCACUUAUAGAUGGAUCCGCGCCGCAUUAGCUAGUUGGUAAGGUAACGGCUUACCAAGGCAACGAUGCGUAGCCGACCUGAGAGGGUGAUAGCCCACACUGGAACUUAGCCACGGUCACGACUCCUACGGGAGGCACCAGUAGGGAAUCUUACGCAAUGGGCGAAAGUCUGACAGAGCGACGGAGCGUGAGUGAUGAAGGUCUCCGGAUCGUAAAACUCUGUUAUUAGGGAUAAACAAAUGUGUAAGUAACUAUGCACGACUUGACGGUACCUACUCAGAAAGCCACGGCUAACUACGUG
RNAcentral lists this ribosomal RNA (497 nucleotides) under uncultured bacterium. RNAcentral's name for it is "partial 16S ribosomal RNA". It matches the Rfam family "Bacterial small subunit ribosomal RNA", at positions 28 to 507 of the family's 1533-position model. The record is from RNAcentral.